RNAcentral lists this ribosomal RNA (1144 nucleotides) under Pseudo-nitzschia delicatissima. RNAcentral's name for it is "eukaryotic LSU rRNA". The stretch from base 677 to 1144 matches the Rfam family "Eukaryotic large subunit ribosomal RNA", at positions 1 to 477 of the family's 3401-position model. Lineage: Eukaryota; Bacillariophyta; Bacillariophyceae; Bacillariales; Bacillariaceae. The record is from RNAcentral.
CCGGAUCCAAGAUCAGUCUUCAUUGUGAAUCUGAUUUCAGAGGCAGCCUAGCUGUUCUCUGUCGUCAACUUUAACCCUGGUACUUCGGUGCCAACUUUUACACAGCGACCUCUGCUUCGGCAUCGUUCACGCACCCCCCCAUAUUCUAUAUGGAAACUGGAAAGAACCAAAUGACCUAAAGCCAAAGUGCAGCUGGUCUGGUGCUGAGCCUUGUGCCAGCACCGCCCUGUACACAAACCUAAUGACUUACAACUUUCAGCGGUGGAUGUCUAGGUUCCCACAACGAUGAAGAACGCAGCGAAAUGCGAUACGUAAUGCGAAUUGCAAGACCUCGUGAAUCAUUAAGAUUUUGAACGCACAUUGCGCUUUCGGGAUUUUCCCGGUAGCAUGCUUGUCUGAGUGUCUGUGGAUCCCCCUCAGCACUGGUCUAUUCAUUAGACCGGUAGCUGGUUGCUUUGGCUUUGACUGCCCCUGGCUGUCUUUGCUUAAAUUCUACAACACGUACGUGCAUAGAUCUAGAAAAGUCUUAGUCCGUUCUGAUAACGGCGUUGACACUCUCAUCUAUCUCUGGUAGCUUGUCUCUGGAGUUCACCUGAGUGUGUUAUCAGCUGUUUGAAGCACUUCUGAGUCUGUCUCUAAGUCUAGCUUGCAGUUUAACUGCUUGCUAUCCAAUUCCGGAUCUCAGAUCAAGCAAGAUGACCCGCCGAAUUUAAGCAUAUAAUUAAGCGGAGGAAAAGAAACUAACUAGGAUUCCCUCAGUAACGGCGAGUGAAGCGGGACUAGCUCAGGAUGUGAAUCUGCGCUUUUAUGGCGCCGAAUUGUGGUCUAUAGACUUUAACGUUAUCUGCCGGGCCAAGUUCCUUGGAAAAGGACAGCUGAAGAGGGUGAGACUCCCGUCCGCCUGGUAGAAUUGAGUUUUUGUCAACGAGUCGAGUUGUUUGGGAUUGCAGCUCUAAUUUGGUGGUAAAUUCCAUCUAAAGCUAAAUAUUGGGUGGGAGACCGAUAGCGUACAAGUACCGUUGAGGGAAAGAUGCAAAGAACUUUGAAAAGAGAGUUAAAGAGUACCUGAAAUUGCUGAAACGGAAGCGAAGGAAACCAGUGUUUGUUGGUUCAUAUUUCCCUGGCCACUUGUGGUUUGGGCGCU